GACGAACGCUAGCGGCGUGCCUAAUACAUGCAAGUCGAACGCAUUUUCUUUCACCGUAGCUUGCUACACCGAAAGAAAAUGAGUGGCGAACGGGUGAGUAACACGUGGGUAACCUGCCCAUCAGCGGGGGGUAACACUUGGAAACAGGUGCUAAUACCGCAUAAUUCCAUUUACCGCAUGGUAGAUGGGUGAAAGGCGCUUUUGCGUCACUGAUGGAUGGACCCGCGGUGCAUUAGCUAGUUGGUGGGGUAACGGCCUACCAAGGCUGCGAUGCAUAGCCGACCUGAGAGGGUGAUCGGCCACACCGGGACUGAGACACGGCCCAGACUCCUACGGGAGGCAGCAGUAGGGAAUCUUCGGCAAUGGACGCAAGUCUGACCGAGCAACGCCGCGUGAGUGAAGAAGGUUUUCGGAUCGUAAAACUCUGUUGUUAGAAAAGAACAAGGAUGAGAGUGGAAAGUUCAUCCCUUGACGGUAUCUAACCAGAAAGCCACGGCUAACUACGUG
This 507-nucleotide ribosomal RNA is filed under the name uncultured bacterium. RNAcentral describes it as "bacterial SSU rRNA". It matches the Rfam family "Bacterial small subunit ribosomal RNA", at positions 28 to 507 of the family's 1533-position model. The record is from RNAcentral.